RNAcentral lists this long non-coding RNA (1004 nucleotides) under Phasianus colchicus (ring-necked pheasant). RNAcentral describes it as "lncRNA (ENSPCLG00000007747.1)". Lineage: Eukaryota; Metazoa; Chordata; Aves; Galliformes; Phasianidae. The record is from RNAcentral.
AGCAUGGUCUGUUUUGAAGGGAUUGUUGCUAUUUCCAAUCUAUAUGAAGGCUAUAUGAGUUAGCCAUAUAGAUACUGCUUGAUGGUAGCCCUCCAAAUUUUGCUGGAUGAGUUGCACUGGAAGGUUCACCUGGUAAAACAGAAGGCAGAUGAAGAACCAGACAACCAUGAGAAGGAACAAUUAAAGCCAUUGUCUUUCACCGACAAGUAAUUACAGCCUGGGGAAAUUCAGGCAAACAUUUAUAAGCAGGAUCUUCAGCUUUGGUAGUGUUCCUGAUCACAGCCUGAUGCCUCAGGUAUUACCUGGGGUAAGUCAGUUGUACACUGGAAACUUGCUGGAAACUUCUGAUCUGGGGAGGCUGCUCUGCCCAGAGCAAUGGAAUGAGGAAUGCAUCCAUGCUGUUUCACAGAACUCUCCUAGGCAACCUCAAGAUCUGGAGGUUGGUGGCCCAGACUGUGGUAGGAGGGUUGGAACUUGAUGAUCCUUGGGGUCCCUGCCAACCUGAGCUGGUUUACGAUUCCUUUGGAGAGGGCUCUGGCUGAACAUGCAGGCUUGUUUGCUGUUCUUCAUCAAUGGUGCCCAAGGCAAGAGCAAGUAUGAAAGCACACGUAAUCAAGCAGAAGGUGCAGCAACCUUGCACAAGUGGUCCUGUAACUCUCGGUCUUACUCAGGAUUUCUGCUAUUGCAUGAAAGAGUUGCUGCAGAAAAGAAGGUAGGUGCAAGUCCCAGAUACUCUACAUUUUGAGCAAUCAUUGCUUGUUCAGAUCCAUGAGCAUAAAUGUGUCCUCUCUCCUUUCUGCUUGUAGAUGCUCAAUAGCAAUACACAUAUUGGACUGUAUAUACAUCUAUAUAUAAAUAUUUGUCUCCAAGUUUCUCUCAAGAAGAUGUAGCUCCUACUGUGCCCCUAAAAUAUUUCAUAUGUGAAACACAUCCUGCUUAGAUUGAAGUGGCAGGCCAUUGCCUUCUCCCUUCAACCCUAUCAUACUAUACUAAAGACGUUUACU